GAUCAUGGCUCAGGAUGAACGCUAGCUACAGGCUUAACACAUGCAAGUCGAGGGGCAGCAUGAACUUAGCUUGCUAAGUUUGAUGGCGACCGGCGCACGGGUGAGUAACACGUAUCCAACCUUCCGUUUACUCAGGGAUAGCCUUUCGAAAGAAGAUAAUACCUGAUAGUAUGGUGAGAUUGCAUGAUAACAACCAUUAAAGAUUAUUGGUAAACGAAUGGGGAGUGCGUUCCAUUAGG
RNAcentral lists this ribosomal RNA (239 nucleotides) under uncultured bacterium. RNAcentral describes it as "partial 16S ribosomal RNA". It matches the Rfam family "Bacterial small subunit ribosomal RNA", at positions 15 to 245 of the family's 1533-position model. The record is from RNAcentral.